GAUGAAGAACGUAGCGAAAUGCGAUAAAUAAUGUGAAUUGCAGAAUUCAGUGAAUCAUCGAAUCUUUGAACGCACAUUGCGCCCGCCAGUAUUCUGGCGGGCAUGCCUGUUCGAGCGUCAUUACAACCCUCAGGCCCCCGGGCCUGGCGUUGGGGAUCGGCGGAAGCCCCCUGCGGGCACAACGCCGUCCCCCAAAUACAGUGGCGGUCCCGCCGCAGCUUCCAUUGCGUAGUAGCUAACACCUCGCAACUGGAGAGCGGCGCGGCCACGCCGUAAAACACCCAACUUCUGAAUGUUGACCUCGAAUCAGGUAGGAAUACCCGCUGAACUUAAGCAUAUCAAUAAGCGGAGGA
This 353-nucleotide unclassified non-coding RNA is filed under the name soil metagenome. RNAcentral's name for it is "partial contains 5.8S ribosomal RNA, internal transcribed spacer 2, and large subunit ribosomal RNA". The stretch from base 1 to 120 matches the Rfam family "5.8S ribosomal RNA", at positions 35 to 154 of the family's 154-position model. The record is from RNAcentral.